This is a long non-coding RNA of Adelges cooleyi (spruce gall adelgid), 181 nucleotides long. RefSeq lists it as uncharacterized. The record is from RefSeq and is a predicted model, not a curated record. The transcript has 3 exons. NCBI's taxonomy places the organism in Eukaryota, Metazoa, Arthropoda, Insecta, Hemiptera, Adelgidae.
ACUGCAUGUGCGGUAAAGGUAUCACUAUAGGAGAUACGUCAGUUGAUACUAUACAGCGUACAGGGCUACAGACCAGCACCGGUCUGUAAUUCAUCUUACUCAAUUUUAAAAAAGGAUUUUUAUACUAAAAUAGUACAUAUUGUAGGUAAUUAUGACUAUUUUAUAAAUACCUCACAUAUUA